This 176-nucleotide ribosomal RNA is filed under the name Sphingomonas sanxanigenens. RNAcentral's name for it is "partial 23S ribosomal RNA". It matches the Rfam family "Bacterial large subunit ribosomal RNA", at positions 2740 to 2925 of the family's 2925-position model. The record is from RNAcentral. Lineage: Bacteria; Pseudomonadati; Pseudomonadota; Alphaproteobacteria; Sphingomonadales; Sphingomonadaceae.
GCAGGGUAGCUAUGCAUGGACGGGAUAACCGCUGAAAGCAUCUAAGCGGGAAGCCUCCCUCAAGAUAAGAUUUCUUAGGACGGUCGGAGACCACGACCUUGAUAGAUCGGAUGUGGAAGCGCGGUAACGUGUGGAGCUAACCGAUACUAAUUGUCCUAUUCGCGCUUGAGAGUUCC